AGGAUGAACGCUGGCGGUCUGCUUAACACAUGCAAGUCGAACGGGCGUAGCAAUACGUUAGUGGCGGACGGGUGAGUAACGCGUGAGAAUCUACCUUCAGGACGGAGACAACAGUUGGAAACGACUGCUAACCCCCGAUGUACUGAAAAGGCAAAUAUUUAUAGCCUGAAGAAGAGCUCGCGUCCGAUUAGCUAGUUGGAGAGGUAAAAGCUCACCAAGGCGACGAUCGGUAGCUGGUCUGAGAGGACGAUCAGCCACACUGGGACUGAGACACGGCCCAGACUCCUACGGGAGGCAGCAGUGGGGAAUUUUCCGCAAUGGGCGAAAGCCUGACGGAGCAAGACCGCGUGGGGAAGAAGGCUCUUGGGUUGUAAACCCCUUUUCUCUGGAAGAAGUUGUGAAGCAGCCUGACGGUACCAGAGGAAUCAGCAUCGGCUAACUCCGUGCCAGCAGCCGC
Molecule: ribosomal RNA, 457 nt
Filed under: uncultured bacterium
Lineage: Bacteria
Description: SSU rRNA
Rfam family: Bacterial small subunit ribosomal RNA
Source: RNAcentral